AGAGUUUGAUCAUGGCUCAGAGCGAACGCUGGCGGCAGGCUUAACACAUGCAAGUCGAGCGGGCAUAGCAAUAUGUCAGCGGCAGACGGGUGAGUAACGCGUGGGAACAUACCUUUUGGUUCGGAACAACACAGGGAAACUUGUGCUAAUACCGGAUAAGCCCUUACGGGGAAAGAUUUAUCGCCGAAAGAUUGGCCCGCGUCUGAUUAGCUAGUUGGUGAGGUAACGGCUCACCAAGGCGACGAUCAGUAGCUGGUCUGAGAGGAUGAUCAGCCACAUUGGGACUGAGACACGGCCCAAACUCCUACGGGAGGCAGCAGUGGGGAAUAUUGGACAAUGGGCGCAAGCCUGAUCCAGCCAUGCCGCGUGAGUGAUGAAGGCCCUAGGGUUGUAAAGCUCUUCUGUGCGGGAAGAUAAUGACGGUACCGCAAGAAUAAGCCCCGGCUAACUUCGUGCCAGCAGCCGCGGUGAUACGAAGGGGGCUAGCGUUGCUCGGAAUCACUGGGCGUAAAGGGUGCGUAGGCGGGUCUUUAAGUCAGGGGUGAAAUCCUGGAGCUCAACUCCAGAACUGCCUUUGAUACUGAGGAUCUUGAGUUCGGGAGAGGUGAGUGGAACUGCGAGUGUAGAGGUGAAAUUCGUAGAUAUUCGCAAGAACACCAGUGGCGAAGGCGGCUCACUGGCCCGAUACUGACGCUGAGGCACGAAAGCGUGGGAGCAAACAGGAUUAGAUACCCUGGUAGUCCACGCCGUAAACGAUGAAUGCCAGCCGUUAGUGGGUUUACUCACUAGUGGCGCAGCUAACGCUUUAAGCAUUCCGCCUGGGGAGUACGGUCGCAAGAUUAAAACUCAAAGGAAUUGACGGGGGCCCGCACAAGCGGUGGAGCAUGUGGUUUAAUUCGACGCAACGCGCAGAACCUUACCAGCCCUUGACAUCCCGGUCGCGGACUCCAGAGACGGAGUCCUUCAGUUCGGCUGGACCGGAGACAGGUGCUGCAUGGCUGUCGUCAGCUCGUGUCGUGAGAUGUUGGGUUAAGUCCCGCAACGAGCGCAACCCCCGUCCUUAGUUGCUACCAUUUAGUUGAGCACUCUAAGGAGACUGCCGGUGAUAAGCCGCGAGGAAGGUGGGGAUGACGUCAAGUCCUCAUGGCCCUUACGGGCUGGGCUACACACGUGCUACAAUGGCGGUGACAAUGGGACGCUAAGGGGCAACCCUUCGCAAAUCUCAAAAAGCCGUCUCAGUUCGGAUUGGGCUCUGCAACUCGAGCCCAUGAAGUUGGAAUCGCUAGUAAUCGUGGAUCAGCAUGCCACGGUGAAUACGUUCCCGGGCCUUGUACACACCGCCCGUCACACCAUGGGAGUUGGUUUUACCUGAAGACGGUGCGCUAACCCGCAAGGGAGGCAGCCGGCCACGGUAGGGUCAGCGACUGGGGUGAAGUCGUAACAAGGUA
This 1448-nucleotide ribosomal RNA is filed under the name metagenome. RNAcentral's name for it is "bacterial SSU rRNA". It matches the Rfam family "Bacterial small subunit ribosomal RNA". The record is from RNAcentral.